This is an RNA transcript of Canis lupus familiaris (dog), 6654 nucleotides long. It is a transcript of the gene named glyceraldehyde-3-phosphate dehydrogenase-like, with no coding region annotated. The transcript has 3 exons. The record is from RefSeq and is a predicted model, not a curated record. NCBI's taxonomy places the organism in Eukaryota, Metazoa, Chordata, Mammalia, Carnivora, Canidae.
CUUCUCAAAAGUACAUUGGAAAGUGGAAGUUGAGUGAAGUAGCUUUAGGUAAUAGGAAGCAGUCAUUUCCACCAGGAAGGGAAGCAGAGCAGCUGAGUCACCUGUGUUGCUAUUGAGCCCCCCCAAGCCUGUCAGAGGCUGCCUGCAGGGGGUUGAAGUUCAGGAAAUCAGUCCAAAUUUCAUGUGGAACAAUUUUAAUGAUUCUAGAUGCAGAGCUCCUCUGAGGGGACAGAUUUUCCUACUGAGUAAGUUGAUACCAGAAAUAAGCAGUUGCCUGAGGACAUGUAUUUUUAAGGCAAAAUCUUGACUAUUUUUAAUGAACGUAAGAACCCAGGGAGCUAACAUUACAUGUCACAAUCUCUGAGCACUGAUCGAUGUUCUUCUUAAUCCUGUAGAAUUUCUCCACAUAUUCAGAGCGGCCUAAGAGCUCUACAAAAUCUUCAUCGUGAGUGAUGACCAGAAGCUGGAAGUUACGCUGCUGUGAGCGACUCUUAAUUAUCCUGAAACAGUAUAUUCAGAACAUUUUAUUACUGGAAAGCUUAAAUAGUCCUUUCCUUUUAUAUGAAAAAGCCACUGAGAACCUUGUCACAGUGGAUGACACCAUGUGUGCUGUGAUGACCAGGGCCCCUGCCAGCCAUGCAGGAAGCUGGAGAGCCUGGGGUGGCCUGAGGCCUUCAGUCCAGCUGGGUAGGAGCCCCCAUCUCCUCUCCAGACAGUGCAGGUGCCCACAGUUGACUCUUCACCUAGGUCUGACUCAGGCACUGAUAAGAAUACAUGAUCUAGUUUCUUCCAGAACACAAAGUUGUUACUAAAGCAGGUAGAAAUGUUUUACCUAAUUUUCUUUAAUAUCUGUGGUGUUCAACUUUAGGAGUCUGACUUAUUCCUUUGUCUGGGGUUUUUGUGUUUUGUGACCUGUUACUAAUUCUCUCUGGAAGAAGAAGAAAAAAAAGACCAACUACAGGCAAGGGAAAUUACAUUUGCAAGUCCCACUACCUUCUUGGGAGCUGAGUCUACUUAGAAUUCUGCCACCACCAGUUACCAGAUGCAUCAUUAGUAUGACACACAGGAGACCUGAGUGGGUGUACUGGGAACAUUUUUGCUCAUUAUCUAUAUGCUGAGGUAACUACCUAAGAGACUGAAAUCAAACUUUUUCUUUUAACUACUCAUUUAUUUAUCCCUUGCCUACAGCUGGAUGCACUUAGCUUUCAAAAGUAGUUGACCUUGUGUGAUGGGCACACAAGACUACCAAGAGAUGGCUGAGAAAGGGGCCCCAUCCCUUCAUCUCUGCCAGAAAGAAUGUGUCUGGAGCCAGAGUACCCAAAACAGCUUCUCUAGCUUGGAAAAAGUGCCUUUUCUUUGCCAGCACAGUCUUUCAACUGCUGUCCAUCCCUGGAGCCUGUACCAAGGGCAUGUGAAUGUGGCAAAGGUGUGUGCAAUUUUACUUUCUAGAUUCUACUUAACCACUAUUCCACUUUUUGAAUAAGAGCUGUCAUUUCUCAUAAAGCUGGGGAGAUGGGCAAAAUCCACUAUUACCACCUACAAAUGUUUUAGCAGGGCAGCUAAGGCCUCUACAUGAUGUGUGGGCAUUGCUGGUGCAUUUACAGAAAAACCAAACCAAGCCAGGAAACCCUUCAGUUUCCCUAUGAACACACUCGGGGAGAUGCAGGAUGUGUCUGGGACUGCUGUUCACCACCUAGUUCUUUUUUAAGUAUCUGAAGAAUUACUAUCAAAGGUCUGGCACCAACCAGUUUUCCCACAGAACACCCAUCCAGAGAGGGUUUUCACCGUAAUUUUUAAAGUAAGGUAAAGAGUUCUAUCAUAACCUGCCCCCAAACCAGAGAUUCUUACUCAACAAGAGCAUGUGCAAGAGACUCAAUGUUUUCUCGGUCAAGAUUUGUUGUUGGCUCAUCCAAGGCAAGGAUGCCACAGUUCAAGCAGAAUGUUUCAGCCAACGCCAGACGAAUGAUGAGUGAGGCCAGUACCUGGAAUAAAGCACCAGAGCUGAGUUGUGCAUUGACCUUUUUCUCAUUCACUUUAGGAAAACAGGCAGACCUGGCCUAAUGUCUUUAUAAGGGAAAGGAUCAAUGUCACGAGGUCACUGACUUUAGGCAAAUCAUUGCUCUUUUAUAUGGGAGAGUCUGGCACUGUGAUCAGACUCUUAAACCCUUCCAGAAGGUGAGCCAUCAGGUAUAUUAUCUCAGCCUAUCGUGCAGUGAAAUAAGAUGCUAAAAGCAAUGGUGAUUUUACUACCCCCAAAUACACACAAAUCAUGUCAGCUAUAAUGAAACUUGAGAGCACACGUUUGAAUCGGAAAUGCAUUACUUUUACUCAAAGUAUAAGAUUAACAACCUUAAAAAAUUCAAGUCCUAUUUUACUUUCCUGAUAAUGAUAUUUGUUAGAAAACGUAGACACGUUACAUCUUCCAGAGUCCCACACACACUUUUCCUCUGUGAGUUAUCUUUCAAUCUCUAUGUUCUAUGGUGCAAAAGGGGCACCAGGUACUGUGGUGUUAUUUACCUAGACUUAAGUGUAAGCCAAGAGAGAGAGAAAGAAUAGUCCUGGAUCAAUUUACCAGGAGUGUAGGAGUAUGGUUUUAUUUAAGCUUACCUACAGGACAUCCAAGGAACUGACACUUUGAGGUACUUUCUUGGUUAAUUAAAAACCUAAUGCUAAAACUCUCAGAUGCAGCUGAAGCCAUCUGAGGUAUAAGGGGCACAGAAUCAAGAGUGACAGAAUAGUCUAGAAAGUAGAAACUACUUUUGCGUGAGCCGUCAAUAUCUCCUUCCACCAGUCUGUGAGCAAAGGAGCAUCAGUGAGUGGAGUUAGUGAUUUCAGGGCAGUUUAGAGCUUCUCUCUGAUACCCAGGGCAGACUGGCAGACUGAAGCCAGGAUCAUAGCUUGGCCCUUUGGGGAAGACACCUUUUUCCUGUAUUUGAACCCUACUGCAGCUGCCUCUUUCACCACCAUGUACUCAGAGUAGAGUCUAAAUGAAGUUCCUGGCCAACUUCUUUUUUUUUUUCCUGGCCAACUUCUAACAAACUAUUUGUCUUCUCCCCCAACACCAAAGAAGCAAUUAAUACUAAUUUUUAUAAUUUAGAGUGUCUAUGGGAAAUCUACUUUGUUCAGAAAAUAAUUUUCAAAAGUAUUUUUAAUCCAAAGGGACAUGUUUCAAACUCUAUUUUCUUAUUCAUUACCACUGAAAAUCACCAAAGCAAGUAGGAAUACUGAUUAUAGAUCAUAAAUUUGUCAUUUUUGCAAAAUAUGAUUAAGAUAAUAAUCUGCAUGUGCCUUAAAUUGGUAUCUGCCAUCUGGGCUGACAACAAAAUACAUACACGCAGGAUUGUCUUUAAGCAAAAAUUGAAAAUUAUGAAAUACCUCAGAUAAUGUGAGCAGCCAUUUCUAGAAUCUUAAGAUUUUGUUAAGAAACCCAGGAGUUCAGAAAUGUUAUCAAAUAUAAUCCGCUUCUAAUCUGAAAAGAGGAAGCUCAAGAAUCUAAGCCACCAUGGUUACAAACCUGUGCACAAAGGACCCAGCUUUGUUUCCAAAGACACAGACCAAUUUUCCUGACUCUUUAUUUAAAGCUUUACUCCUCUUUCUGAUUUGCUCUGUGCUCCCUAUCCAACAUAGCCUGUUCUGCCAGCCUCGUGUGGAGCUAAGUAGCCUGGCUCAGUAGCUGAGGGGUGUGUCAGGGUGUAUGUGGUACACGCACAGAGGGGAGAGGCAGCUGUAUGUGUCAUGGCUUCUGGUCUAGCAGAACCUUCUUUUAACAUUUUUAAGCAAUCUUUACACAUGAUGUGGGGCUCAAACACAACUCCAAGAUCAAGAGUGCACAUUCUACCAAAUGAGCCAGCCAGGUUCCCUUAGAGGAUCCUUCUUUCAGAGGGUGUGCAGGCCAGACCCAUUGGCUAGGCCGAUGGCAGAGGUUGGCAGGGACUCAGUCUCAUGAUGGGGCAGCUUUCUCAAUGAGAAUUUUACAUUUUAGUGCCUCACCUGGCUCAGCCUAGGAUCUGACUUAGUAAUACUGCAGGUCACUCAGUCUAUCAUCCCACCCCACCUUUGAUUGUUCUGAAAUCAGAAUGCACUCUUGCAAUUAGUUGCAUUUUUUUCUUUCUUGGUGACACAUAAAAUAGUGUUAUGUCUUAGAACUGAUGACACAUUAACUUUAUUCCUGUAAGGAGUAAUAUGAUAUAAUGGUCACAAGCUGCAUGUUCUGUGUUUGGCCUGUCACGUGAGAAUGUUUCCGACCUUUCUCCUAAAGGACCAUCUAUGUUGCAGGAAAUGCUGAUUAGAACUAGAAGAGUGUAACGGGAUAGCUGAUCUGAUCAACUUGAUGCGGCAACAAAGAGCGCUGUGAGGAGCUUCUCAGCAUUCACAGGCAGCCCUAGUUGCUUUCACUGCACUGACAGCAGUUUCUUCCCGUCAAUUCACUGUGCACAGGUUACUCCCUAGGCUUUCGAGAUACCUGCCUUUUGUCCAGCACUGCAUCGUCCUCUCAUAUCCAAGGCUGUGUCUCCUUUUAGCAUCACCACGCGGUAGUUAUAAUUCCGCCUUUUAUCAGAAGCGGAUACAUUUUCAUCGGCAUCAGACCGAAUUUCUAUGUAUUCAAUAUCUAACAUACAAAAAAGAAGAUUUCAGAGAAACCUACAUUCUGUAGCUUCUUGUCACUUGCAAAUAUCAAGUAAGCCCCCAUGAAACAACGUGUGAAGCUGACAUUACCAUUCAAACUGGCUGAGAUGGUUCAUGAGGCAAAAGCAACCCCAGAUGCCCCAACCUUCAGUCUCCACUCUGCCUUUCUUAGUUCCCCUAUUAAGAGUUUCCUCCUGCUGGUUUUCUUCUUAUCGCCUUUCAGCUUAUCCAUAUCUAUGCUUCAACAGAAUCUAUUAGGUCAUCAGUUAAAUAUAAUAUGUACAUAGCCAAAUAUGUAAGUCCUGUCAGGCUUUGGAAUAGAAAACUUUGCAUUUUUUUUUUCUUGCUACAAGAUGUCGUCAAGAUAAGAAUUCUUAGAAAAUCUCCAAGAGAUGUUUAGAAAGGGGUCUAGGAGGUAAUGCUGGCAUGAUGAGAGAUCCUAUGUGCCAAGAACUAGGGACGGGGCUUUGGAAAAAGCAUUCACAACAAACCAUGUCAAUUACCUUGUCCACGAUAGGUACUUCGCCAAAGGUCACGUAUAAUUUUGUUGAUUUCCUCCAUUUUCAUACUGUGAAAUUUCAUGAUUGCUCUGGAAGAAGAAGCCAUUGAUACUUAAAAGUGAUGGCAAGAAUGGUGGCUAUGAGGUGAACCCUGAUCAAGCCCUCAUCCCUAAGUUCUCCUCCAGUACCAGGAGCCGGGUCUGACAGACUCAGAGCUGGAUGCCUCAGCUGCAAAACUAUAAAAGUUAAGUGUUUCCAGUGAGUUUCAGAAGAAAUGUGACUUAACAGGCAACAUUCUGUAUUUGGGGGAAAAUAAUAGUGGAAAACCUGGGGCACAGGAUAGAACAUAGUACUGAAUGAUUUAUUCCAAAAAUCACUUAAUUGAUGCCUUCUUUUUAAAGCAGUAAGAGGUAGUAUAUUCUAAAUGAUGUAGUUUCCCCCCAUUCUCAUAUAGUGUUAGUGUCUCUGACCACUGGCAAGCUUAUAAUCAGUGAUGUUUUUAGAUGAUUACUAAUAACAGAUGGUAAUCAGCUUUUCUUGAAAAUGCACUGCUAAUUUCCUGUGUUACCCUAAAUAGACAGCUGAAUGCAACAAUUACACUGAUUGCAUGCUUCAUUCUAAGAGGUGAAACAAUAAGGGAAAUUUUGGACCUUUCUUCUAGGUGAGAAGGCAAAUUAAAGGCUCACAACAUGAACCUUACGAAGGCCACUAUUUGCCAGCAUAAGCCCACAAAGACUCAAUUUUGGGGAAAUCUGUACCACUUUUCUUCUCAUUUAGAAAAAUCCAUUUGAUUAGCAGAUAACAGAACACAGUAAACAGCCUGUCUUUGUUCCUUAGGCAAGCCUAAAUUGCUGGAAAGCACCUCUGCACCUCCCCACCCCCACAAGCUCCUCCUCACUGGCCCCAUCAAGCCCACUCUGCUCAGUGUGAUGGAUCUGGCACUAAGAUUCUUGAAAUACUUUCUUCACUCAGUUUUCAAGAUACCACACCUUUUACGUGUUUCUCCUACUUCAACUUCAGAAACAUCUUGAGUCAUGGAACCCUUCUCUUCUUUAAGUCAUGUCACACAGUAUCACUCUUGUGGCUUUAAAUACUACAUCUAUGUUGAUGAUUCUCAAAUUUAUACCUUUCCUCAACUCCAGACUCUAGGUUACACAUCCAGCUGCUUCAGGUGCCUACAAGUGCCUUACACUUAAACUGUCUAAAACAAAACUGUUGCUCAAGUAAAAAUAUGUAGGAGCAAUCUUUGAUUCUCUUCUUUCCUUUUCCUCCCCUAUAUUCAAUUCAGCAGCAAGGUCAGUUAAUUUCAUAUACCAAACAAACUUGAGUCCAUCCACUUCUCUUCAUUUCCACUGCUACCUCCCUAGUCUAGUCCACCACUAUUUCUUGGAUUAUUACAACAGUCUCCUCACUGGUCUCCUCACUACCUUUGCUCCACUAUGAUCCAUUCUCCAAACAGAAGCCAGGGUAGUUUCUUUUCUUUUCUUUUCUUUUCUUUUUUAAAGAUUUAUUUAUAUGAGAGAGAGAC